UACGUAGGGUGCAAGCGUUAAUCGGAAUUACUGGGCGUAAAGCGUGCGCAGGCGGUUAUGUAAGACAGAUGUGAAAUGCCCGGGCUUAACCUGGGAACUGCAUUUGUGACUGCAUGGCUAGAGUUUGGCAGAGGGGGGUAGAAUUCCACGUGUAGCGGUGAAAUGCGUAGAUAUGUGGAGGAACACCGAUGGCGAAGGCAGCCCCCUGGGUCAAGACUGACGCUCAUGCACGAAAGCGUGGGGAGCAAACAGG
This 253-nucleotide ribosomal RNA is filed under the name uncultured bacterium. RNAcentral's name for it is "partial 16S ribosomal RNA". It matches the Rfam family "Bacterial small subunit ribosomal RNA", at positions 524 to 776 of the family's 1533-position model. The record is from RNAcentral.